UACGGGGGGGGCAAGCGUUGUUCGGAAUUACUGGGCGUAAAGGGCUCGUAGGCGGCCAACUAAGUCAGACGUGAAAUCCCUCGGCUUAACCGGGGAACUGCGUCUGAUACUGGAUGGCUUGAAUCCGGGAGAGGGAUGCGGAAUUCCAGGUGUAGCGGUGAAAUGCGUAGAUAUCUGGAGGAACACCGGCGGCGAAGGCGGCAUCCUGGACCGGCAUUGACGCUGAGGAGCGAAAGCCAGGGGAGCAAACGGG
This 253-nucleotide ribosomal RNA is filed under the name uncultured bacterium. Its description in RNAcentral is "partial 16S ribosomal RNA". It matches the Rfam family "Bacterial small subunit ribosomal RNA", at positions 524 to 776 of the family's 1533-position model. The record is from RNAcentral.